AGCUAAUGUGAUUGAAAUGCCAGAUGCUAGAAGAACUGAUGUAUUUAGUAGUGGAACUUCUAGGGGAUUUAGUGGAAUAAUUCCUGUUGGUGGUCAGCAACCUCCUAGAUCGUGUGUGGGGACUAGGCUAGAGUGGUAGAAAGCUCAGAAGAAUCCGGCGAAGAAAAAGACUUCGGAGAUAAUAAAUAAGAUUAUUCCAUAUCGAAGUCCUUUUUGUACAAUAGGGGUGUGAUGUCCUUGGUAGGUCUCCUUCAACAUCGGAAGAG
This is a non-coding RNA of Arvicanthis niloticus (Nile rat), 266 nucleotides long. The record is from RefSeq and is a predicted model, not a curated record. Lineage: Eukaryota; Metazoa; Chordata; Mammalia; Rodentia; Muridae.